AGUGAACGCUGGCGGCAGGCCUAAUACAUGCAAGUCGAACGGCAGCACAGCAGAGCUUGCUCUGUGGGUGGCGAGUGGCGGACGGGUGAGGAAUACGUGGGAAUCUGCCCAGUCGUGGGGGAUAACGUAGGGAAACUUACGCUAAUACCGCAUGCGCCCUUCGGGGAAAGCCGGGGACCGUUCGGGCCUGGCGCGAUUGGAUGAGCCACGUCGGAUUAGCUAGUUGGCGGGGUAAAGGGCCACCAAGGCGACGAUCCGUAGCUGGUCUGAGAGGAUGAUCAGCCACACUGGAACUGAGACACGGUCCAGACUCCUACGGGAGGCAGCAGUAGGGAAUAUUGGACAAAU
RNAcentral lists this ribosomal RNA (348 nucleotides) under uncultured bacterium. RNAcentral describes it as "bacterial SSU rRNA". It matches the Rfam family "Bacterial small subunit ribosomal RNA", at positions 29 to 373 of the family's 1533-position model. The record is from RNAcentral.